Eriocheir sinensis (Chinese mitten crab) is the source of this 4456-nucleotide long non-coding RNA. RefSeq lists it as uncharacterized. NCBI's taxonomy places the organism in Eukaryota, Metazoa, Arthropoda, Malacostraca, Decapoda, Varunidae. The transcript has 2 exons. The record is from RefSeq and is a predicted model, not a curated record.
AAAACUCGUAUUUCUACUAAAGCGCACCAAAGCCUACUUCCCUGAAUUUAAUAAUAUGCUACUAUUUCACAUUAACGGAUGGUGAAGGCCACGAAAUAACGAGCAGACCCAUGAUAGUGAUAGAUAGUGAUGAUAAGAAGACCUGCCGUGAUUGAAAUGACUUGUGAAAAUGACUGCAAUAAUGAUGGUGAUAAUGAGAACCAGUGGAAGUAGCGAGGGCAGGAUAAUGGCCAUAAUGAUGAUAAUGAUGAUGAGAGCCUACAAUGACGAUAGUUAACGAUGAUAGUAUAAUAGCCUGGGAGAAUGAGUGCAGUGAUGAUGAUGAUGAUAAUGAUGACAACCAGUAAUGUCGAUAGUGCAAUGAACGAUGCUUGUGUAAGGUCCCGUGACAAUGACGAGGUGUGUGGAUGGUGAUUUCUAUGAUGAUGUUAUUGAUGGUGAUGGUGGUGUUGGUGAUAAUGAUAAUGAUAAUGAUGAAAACCUUAGCAUGAUGGUGAUAGUGGAAUAAACAGAGGGUGGUAAUUUAUUAUAUUAGAGAAAUUGUAUUAACACAGUGAAAAACAUCCCAAAUGGCACUCAGUGGUGUUCAUUGAAGAUCGUGGUAAUAAUAUAAGAACAUAAGAACGUAAAGUGUACACCACAAGGCGUCCAAAUCAAACUAUAGUCUCCACAAUGAUCCGUUAUUUUGACUCAACACCAGAGACUAAUAAAGAGAUUUCCUGUGUGGUUUCUUAAAAAAUUCUCCUUCCUUAUAUACCGACGUCAAACUCUAGAGCUACAAGGAAUUUUCGUCGUAUUUUGUGUUCCGUUGGAAAGCUUAGAAACUUGCUGUAUUGGACUGUAAAACUGGACCAAUGUUCCCAGAGACAAAAGUACCGGUGGGGAUGAUUGAUGACGAUGGCAAAAGUACGGAUGAGAGUUACAGUGGUGGUGGUGGUGUGGGUGCGGUGGAGACGUUCUGCAGGGUCCAUGUGGUAUCUUUGAGUCUAGUGGAGGAGGCUCGAAAUUAGUGUGGGAUCUAUAUUGAAGGUGAUUAGGAAGAGAGAGAGAGAGAGAGAGAGAACUGUAAAAGAAAAUGAUGUCUGAGUAAGUCGUAUACAAACUACUUCUUUAUUCUAUGUCAUUGUAAUUAUAUAUGUACACACAGGUAGACUGGUGUACGUAUGUAUGUAUGGAUGGAUGGAUGGAUGGAUGGAGGAAGACAACAAAAGAACAAUUGAAAGGAAUGACAAGUGGAUGGAGUGAGUCAUAUACUUUUUACAUUCCGCUUUGAUAGAGUUUGUCUUAUCUCUUUUUUGUCUCUAGGUAUGUAUGUACUUAUAAUGUGUGUGUGUGUGUGUGUGUGUGUGUGUGUGUGUGUGUGUGUGUGUGUGUGUGUGUGUGUGUGUGUAAAACAAAUAAUGCAAAUAAAUCUAGUACAAAAUUAUAAAAGAAAAAAAACAUAUAUUGUGUAGAAUAGCAUGAUCAACAAUUGGUGGUUAAGGAAAAAGAAAACAUAGAAAAGAGGGCGAUGAAAAGUGUAAUAAGUAGUAAAGGAACACUGCACAGAAAAGUGUUAGUGGUACAGAAAUGGUCCACGGAGGAAUAUGAGUGGUAAAGAAACACUGUACAGGAAAGUGAUAAAUGGUGGAGAAAUACUAUAGUGAAUAACGUAAGAAUCGACAAUUAUGAACUGGUGGAGAAAUACUGUAGUGAAUAAUAUAGGAAUCGACAAACAAUAACUGGCUGAAGAAAUCCUGUCGUGAAUAAUAUAAGAACUAACAAACAAACGCAGAUCAAAACAGUAACUCCCAGAGACAGAAGAAAAGCGAGAAAGAAGCGAAAGAAAGAUGUUUAAGUAAGUCAAAGAAAAAAAAAACAAAUAAGUAAAUAAAUAAAUAAAUACGAGUAAAAGAAAGAAUAAAGCAGUACAAAGAAACGUGUAUGAAAGUAAUAAAGACACGUGACCGGGGAAGGUGAGGUGAGCGGCGGUCAUGUCGCAGCGCCAAGCCUAACAAAACACGCAAGUCUUCGCCGGUAGAUAAGAGAUUAGAUAAAAGGAAGUGUUAUCAGCCCGACCUGCCCGCUCGCUUUACACUGCUACAGCGGCGAAGGGAAGGAAAGGGGGGGGGGGGGGAGGAAGGGAAUAGGAGAGGGGGGGGGGGGAGGAAAUGGAAGAGGAAGGAAAGAAAGGGAAGGGAAGGAAAGAGGGGAGAGGAAAGAGAAUGAAGGAAGGGAACGGAGGGAGGAAGGAUUGGAGAAAGGAAAGGAAGGGAAGGAAAUGGCGGGAGGAAGGGAAGGGAGGGAGGAUUGGAGAGAGGAAGGGAAGGGAAGGAAAUGGAGGUAGGAACGGAAGGGAAGGGAAGGGAGGGAGGGAGGGAGGAAGGGGAGAGGAGUAAUUAGAAGAGGAGGAAAGAAGGAAAGGAGGAAAGGAGGAGGGGUGAGGAAGGGAAGGGAAGGGAAGAGGAAGGAAAUGAAGGGAAAAGGAAGGACAUUAAGAGAAGAGGAAGGAAAUGGAAUUGAGAGAGGAAGGGGAAAGGGUGGAGGAAGGGAAGACAGGGGAGAAAAGGAACUGAGGGAGGAAGGGAAGAGCAGGGAGAAAGGGAAUGGAGGUAGGAAAGGAAGGGAGGGAGAAUGGAAGAGGCGGUAGGAAGGAAAUUGAGGGAGGAAGGGACGGGCGCCGGCAGAGGGAAGGGAGAGGGAGACGGGAAGGCAAGGAGAGCGGGAGGGAGGAAGGACGAGAGGGGAGAGAGAGGAGGGGAAGGGUAAUUGAGCUGACGUGUUUUAUAACCUCAUUUAAUACCCGAUAAUGCUAAUGACAGGUAUUUGCAGUGCUCAGGUGGAGGUGGUAGCGAUAGCGGUGACAUGUGUACUGGUGGUGGUGGUGGUGGUGGUGAUGGUGGUGGGACGGUAGGGGUGUUUGAGGUAAUGACCCAGAAAGUGGUGGUGCAUAGACACGGUGUUGAAGGGUUAGAGGUGGUGGUGUUGGUGUUGGUUGGAGAUGGUGGUGUUGCAGGGGAUAUGAUAGUGAAGUGGUGUUGGAAAUGGUGGUGGUAUUGAAGGUGAUACGAUAGUGGAAUGGAGUUGGAGGUGGUGGUGUUGAAAGUGAUAAGGAUAAUGGAGUGGUGUUUUAGGUGAUUAUGGUAGUGAUGUCAUAGUGGAGUUAUAGUGCAGGUGGUGGUGGUGAAGGGGAUGAGGUUAAUGGAGUGGUGUUGUAGGUGAUGGUGAUGAAGGUGGUGUAAUAUUGUAGUGGUGUUAUAGGGGAUGAGAAUAGAGGAAUGGUGAUUGCGGAGUGGUGUUGGUGGUGAUGAUAGUGGAGGUAGCAGUAGUGGUGAUGAUGAUGGUGUUGCAAAUAAUGGUGAUGAAAUGGAUAUAAUAUUGGAGUGGUGUUGUUGGUGAUGAGGAUAGGGGAAUGGUGAUAUCAGAGUGGUGGUGUAGGUGGUGAUGAUAAUAGUGGAAUGGUGUUGAAGGUAGUGAUGGUGUAGGUGAUGAUGAUAAUGGUGUUCAGUGAAAGGUGAUAAGGGUAGUGGGGAGGUGAUAGUGGAGUGGUUUGGUGAUGAUGAUGAUGAUGAUAGGAAAAUGGUGUUGAAGGUGGUGGUGAUGACAGUAAUGACGAUACUGGAAUGGUAUUGUAUAGGUGGUGAAUGUGAUGAUAAUGGAGGUAGUGACAGUGAUGAUGGUGAUGAUAUGGUGGUGGUGGUGAACAGAGGUAGUAGUAGUGGUAUUGUAGGGGGUAAUGGUUGUGGAGGUUGUAGUGGUGGUGGUGGUAGAGAUGAUGAUAGCAAUACCAGAUGUAGUUUUAUAUACCAUACAUAUCAGAUAACAGCGCGCGUUGCCUCCUAAUGAGCGGUAAGCUAACGUAAUGUAUCUCCGAGGCAACUCCAUUACGUGAUUAUGUUGGGCCGUCAAGAUUAACGUACCCAGUGUUUUAAGCUCUCCCUGACUACAACUCCUUCCUGUUUUAUUUUUAUCUUUGUUGUAGUUAAUCGUAGUUACUUUUAUGUCUGUCUGUGCUGUGUGUUUAGCUCUCUCUGCCUUCCUUCUCUUUUGUUUUGUCUGUGUUUUAGUCGGUCUAAGUUAGUUUUAUGUCUGUGUGUCUGUGUAGUGUUUUAAACUUUCUGAUUGGAAUACUUCUUUCUCUUUAUCUGUCUGGGUGUCUCGGUUUGGUGUAAGUUUUCUCUGUCUGUCUGUCUUUCUGUCCUACUUUCUGUCUGUGUGUUUGUCUGUACGUAGUGUUUGAAGCUCUCUGAUUACCUUCCCUUUUUUCUGUAUGUCCGUGUCUGUCUGUCUGUUUCAGUUUGGUUUAAUUAUCUCUGCUUCUGUAUUUCUUUCUGUCUGUCUGUCUCUAUCUAUCUAUCAAUAUAUCUAGCUUUGUCUAUCUAUCUAUCUAUAUCUAUCUAUCUAAUCUAUCUAUGUCUAUCUGUCGCGUGUGUGUGUGUGUGUGUGUGUGUGUGUGUGUGUGUGUGUGUGUGUGUGU